Molecule: ribosomal RNA, 484 nt
Filed under: uncultured bacterium
Lineage: Bacteria
Description: partial 16S ribosomal RNA
Rfam family: Bacterial small subunit ribosomal RNA
Source: RNAcentral
GAUGAACGCUGGCGGCGUGCUUAACACAUGCAAGUCGAACGGUGAAGCAGGAGCUUGCUCUUGUGGAUCAGUGGCGAACGGGUGAGUAACACGUGAGCAACCUGCCCCUGACUCUGGGAUAAGCGCUGGAAACGGCGUCUAAUACUGGAUAUGUGAUGUGACCGCAUGGUCUGCAUCUGGAAAGAAUUUCGGUUGGGGAUGGGCUCGCGGCCUAUCAGCUUGUUGGUGAGGUAAUGGCUCACCAAGGCGUCGACGGGUAGCCGGCCUGAGAGGGUGACCGGCCACACUGGAACUGAGGCACGGCCCAGACUCCUACGGGAGGCAGCAGUGGGGAAUAUUGCACAAUGGGCGGAAGCCUGAUGCAGCAACGCCGCGUGAGGGAUGACGGCCUUCGGGUUGUAAACCUCUUUUAGCAGGGAAGAAGCGAAAGUGACGGUACCUGCAGAAAAAGCACCGGCUAACUACGUGCCAGCAGCCGCGGUAA